This 567-nucleotide small RNA is filed under the name Exaiptasia diaphana. RNAcentral describes it as "uncharacterized LOC110248536, transcript variant X2". Lineage: Eukaryota; Metazoa; Cnidaria; Anthozoa; Actiniaria; Aiptasiidae. The record is from RNAcentral.
AUGUAAAUAUAAAAUACCCGCAAUUCCUUUCGGUCGUGCAUUAUCGAUUCUUUUUGACAACCAAUAAAAAUAGCGGAACAUUCUUAUAAAAUCUACAGAGCGUAAAUUGUUGAUUUUGAAACACACCCAGAUUUAUAUUAGAAUCUGAUGUUUCGACGGGGUCCAAGUCACUUCUUCAAGGCGCGCAACAUCAAAUCAUCAAUCAUAAAGAACCGUUCCUAAAAAACAAGAGACGCCAAUAUCAGACAGUAUAUGAAAUAUGGCAGCCAUGUAGCUCUGUAAUUGUUGCAAAGUCUUACCAUUUCAUCUUGUGAGCGGAAGGAAAGCCAUUGAGUCCCUUUGGAAAUUAAACAAAUAAAUUGUAGUCGACGUUUGAAAAGCCUAGUAAAGAUCAAUUAUGCCUUAGCUCAGAUGAACAAAACGUUUGGAAACUAUUGCAAAAAGCUAAGACGCCAUACUUGUUAGUGCUAGAUUUCACCUUUGAAGCAAUUCAAAUGAGGAGAAGAUGAGAAGUGUCGUCGAAGAGUAGAAGCGUUGACCAUGAUUACAUAAAAGAUUAAUGGCCAC